RNAcentral lists this transfer RNA (72 nucleotides) under Candidatus Woesearchaeota archaeon CG10_big_fil_rev_8_21_14_0_10_44_13. RNAcentral describes it as "tRNA-Ala". It matches the Rfam family "tRNA". From Rfam's summary of the family: Transfer RNA (tRNA) molecules are approximately 80 nucleotides in length. Their secondary structure includes four short double-helical elements and three loops (D, anti-codon, and T loops). The record is from RNAcentral. Lineage: Archaea; Nanobdellati; Candidatus Woesearchaeota.
GGGCUCGUGGUCUAACGGUAUGACGUCGCAUUGGCUAUGCGGAGACUCCGGGUUCAAAUCCCGGCGAGUCCA